Arvicola amphibius (Eurasian water vole) is the source of this 761-nucleotide long non-coding RNA. RefSeq lists it as uncharacterized. The transcript has 4 exons. The record is from RefSeq and is a predicted model, not a curated record. NCBI's taxonomy places the organism in Eukaryota, Metazoa, Chordata, Mammalia, Rodentia, Cricetidae.
AGCUCCCGCCCCUCCACCAUGUAGGGCAAAGUCGACAGGGGCGUGCCUUCUACUAGAGAACUUUGGCCACAGCUUGUUACCAGCUUAGACAAGACAACGACUAGGGACAGUGAGCAGGCCACAGAGAAGAAUCCGGGUCCUGAGUUUGAGGAAGACAGGAAGGAUAAUAGCCUGUUCCUGCUGGCAGAGCUGAUGUUAACCAGUAAGAUGGGGCGUCCAGUAAAGUCAGCGGUCAGGAGGCCUGUAGACUGCAGAUGGAAGCCCCAAAGCCGCAGAGGAACACAGGGUGACUGUCCAGACAGCCAGCUGUUUCUGUCUGCACCGCACUUCCUGUUUACUCAGGUGGGGAAGGGCAAGCUGUGGAGACAAACAGAUCAGCCAUCAGCACUCCAGGCGUGGGACUGAGACCAUCGCCCCCUCGUUCUUGAGGCACAGGGAUGGCGGGUUCGUGGUAUGCCAGAGCUCCUGGAGGGGGGUCUGUAUCCUUUCUUGUCUUCCCUAGUUCUCUCUCUUUCUCCCUCCUCCUCGCCCCUCUCUCUCCUCUGAGUUUUCAGGUGCUGCUCACUGUCCAGUACUCAUCAAGCUGGGAAACCCAAACACUGCUCAACAGAACACCUUCCAUUCCAUUCAGAGACAGUGUGUGGGGGAUGACAAAACUCUGUAGUCAGAAUGUGACAUGUGAACCUCGGGAGGUGUGCCCCACUUUCUGCCACCGUCUCUGGCUACUCCUCCACAACCUGAUUAAACCCCCGAUAAGCUCA